UGUAAUUGUCCCUGUCAGAGCGGGUCUGCUCGUGGUUGAAGCCCAGAGCGUGGAGCAGCUCGUGCUGGACAGUGCUGUGAUACAGACAUCCAAAACGAUCCAGAGACAGAGUCUGAGCUCCCCCCUGUCGGCCCACGUCUGAAGCGGAUGCACGACAAGGAGGAGAAGGACUGCAGGCCACGCUCAAUGAUGGCUCUCUCACGAGCCGCUGCAAGAGUUCUCAAGGCGGGCUCAUCAGCAUCAGGAACUAAAACAGGCAAUUAUCAAUAGUCACUUAUCAAUAUCACAUUCAGUGGUUUCAAAUGAGGUCUUAGUGUAUCUACACUCACUGCGGUUUCUGUUGGCUCUCUCCAGCAGUUCACCCACAGACGGCUCUCUGGAAGGGACAUCUCUCCGGGAGGAAACCUCUACGAGACAGUUGUUUUUCAAACUUAUUGACACUAAGAAAUAGACUUAUUCAAUACUGAUUCUGAUAUCAUAAUAAUAAGAAAAUCACAUUUAGAAAAUGUGAUUUUCUCAAUUAAAUCAUAUUACUUUCUUUUUCUAUUCCUAUGUGGCUUGUUUAAUCCCUCCAUUGUCCAGAUAGACUCUGCAGUGGUCCAUGGAUGUAUUCUGCCCUACAAACACAAAACGCUGUAGCAUCAUGUUUGGUCAAAAAUGAGUUCAUUUGUGAUUUAGUUCAUAAAUAUAUUUGAUUUUAAAAUCCAACCUCUGGCCUCCUUCUUUUUGUUGUGGGCUUGGCACACGCUCUGAACACAUUCAAUAAAUAAAACUUUGUAUUCAAUUAUACUUCAGUGAUAUUUAAUGUGAAGUAUUGUGUGUAUUUAUUCAUACUGUACACACUUUACUGCAGAGUCAAGUGUCGCCGUACGAUCCUGAUCAGAACUAAACAGGAAAUCCAAAACUGUUCUAUAUUAUUGCAAACAAACACAUGCUGACUGGAGCUUGGUGACGGGUUUUUCUUAGAAUGGCUGGAAGUCUGGAGAAAAUCAAGCAAAUAAUGAUCAGGUCACUUUCUGCCUUUGGCCUUUGAGCAACUCCUUAUUUUAGGCUCAUGAUACAAAGACAGAGAACAGGAACUGGCAAAUAAGGUCAAAGGUCAAUUUUGAGCUCAAUAUUUUUUGCAUAUAUAUUUCUUCAUUAUAUCAACUAGUUUUCAAAUUGUGAAAGCCCUGCAUAUUCUACUUUAGUCUGGACAAAACAGAAACUUUGAAGUCAGUUUUCUCAGUUUCACACUCUGGAGAGUUAAGGUCUUGAGCCUUUGUAGGGCAGAAUACUGGUCUAUGUGCUCAGAGCGAGUAUUGAUUAGUAUCUGUUUUCAAUACUUUUGACAAAAUUACAAGACAGUGGUCAAUAUAUGGUGUGCAUUCUGGUUUGGUCCUGCUAUGAGCUCACUUUAGUCCCUCUCAUGUGGACUUGGUUUUGUUCUAGUCUAGUCCUAAUUUUGAUGUAGUGUGAAUCAGUCAGCUAAAUAGAAUAUCCACAGCAACUCAGAAAAUGAUCUCAGCAUUGACCCCAGGAAAGGGCAAGAACAAAUUUGAAAACAGUUAAUGGACUGCAAUUAAAUAUGUGAGGAUUUUGUACUUUUCUGUCUUUAAUUUUUUUGUAUUAUUCUGUCCCCCCAGAGGAGCUGAAGAAGGGUGAAGGAUAUCUGGGAAACCCUGCUUAGACUGCUGUCCCCGUGCGACGGCUCUGGAUAAAUGGAAGAAAAUAGAUGGAUGUCCACAAUGCACAUUCACAUUACAAAGAAAAUGGCUAUUAUAUAACACCACACUUGUAUGACUCCAGUGGAGACAAAGGGGCAUUUAGUCAUCUGCCAGUUUGUGCUAAAUAAUGAUCACCACUGUGCUUACAGUAGUUGUUGGCGAUGUAGUAGAAUGAGUAUGGUUACAGUAGUAGCAUACUCCCAUAUACUUCCCAAAAAUAUAACCUGGCUUACCUCAGACUGAUACGUGUGUGUCACUCUGAACUGAAUUCUACACAUUAUCAAUCUGAAAAGGCUUUCAUUUAAAGUGAUCAGAAAAAUGUGGAACGUUAGAACUAUUUGAAUCUGAUUGUCUGAAGUGUCACAACAUACAACUUUAACCAUGGAUUGGGUAUAAUAUAUUCAUCAUUCUUUACCUUCUUCAGCCCAGGCAGAGGACACCAACAAGAGAGUCACAAACGUCCAGGAAAAUAUCACCAUGGUGACAGCAGACCUGUAUGAACUGUUCUGAUCAACCGAACUCUGAUACAGUACACAUAUUUAUCACCCCAGCAGCACCCUUUAUCAGUCACUGCAAAUGUUUGUGUGAAGUUGAACAGAUGUAGACCAGUCACAGUAUGCACAAAGAACACAGAACACAUUUUCAUUUGAAUAAUUUCAGUUUGCUGUUUACAUUUUAACAUAACUUGCCACAAUUUCAGAUGAAGGGCAGGGGUGUAUUUAGCUCUGAGAGGUUCUGUGUAAUACCUGAAAUAUGCAUCACUUUUGUGGUGUUCUCAUCAUUAUGUGAUGGAGAUUGGUUCUACAAGCUGGUCAUAAUCUCAUGUCUUAAAGUUUGUUUGCUUAACAGUAAUAAUGAUUAGACAAUAUACUUUAAUUUUGUUAAAUAAAUGUGGAUUUUUGUGUUUUAAACUACUGGACUUAGUGCCUUUCAAGAUACCCAGAGCUUUUCACAGUGUAUUAUGCAUUCACUCCACACUCUGGUGGUAAAUUUCUGUUGGGGCAGACUGAAGGCAGAAAGGUUAUCAAUCUGUAUCAUCAGCCCUUUCCAUCACCACCAACACCCCAUUCAUACUCGGCACAAUGUGGGUGAAUUGUCUUGCCUAAGGACACAACGACAGUUUUUCCAGCGGCCUCCUACCUAACCAUGCCCAGCCCUGCUUAACUUCUUUUAUUGUUUUUACAUGGAACUUAGCACUUCCUGUAGUUUCCAGUGUUUUUCUUCCAGCCUUUCUCCAAAAAAUGCUUCCUGACUGAGGUGAAACUAUGGUUUUGAAAAACAUGAAAAUCAAUCAUACAUUUUCAGUCUGAAUAACCAUCUGACCUGAUGAACUGUAUGUGCAUAGAUUUGUUAAAACUGACCUAUUCUGCAAAAUCAACUUUUCCGAGCAUUUACACGAUAUAGCUGUUUCCCUUCUCAUUUCCCUUUACCCUUUAUUUGGAAUGUAUGUUUGCAUAAUCUUUAGUCUCUUAUUUUCAAGAUGCAAUUUUGCAGAUCAGUUCCUAUUUUCACUGUCACAGUCAAGUGCACUGCCACUGCUCUGUAUUAACUGUCCUCUAAUUUUGUUUUCUUAAUCUGUGAUACACGUAGGAUUUGGCAGCAUCUUGGAUCCAUUUUUAGUUCAAAUCUGCGACUCAUUAGUGUGAUCUGCAGCUAUCCAUAUGAGUUGCCAGUGUUAAGGAUCUGUUGGGAGCGAUAUGUCAACUUGAGCAAAGUGGGCGUGCCAGGGAUCCAGCUUUA
Long non-coding RNA from Boleophthalmus pectinirostris (great blue-spotted mudskipper), 3446 nucleotides. RefSeq lists it as uncharacterized. The record is from RefSeq and is a predicted model, not a curated record. The transcript has 3 exons. Lineage: Eukaryota; Metazoa; Chordata; Actinopteri; Gobiiformes; Gobiidae.